GGACUGCUGACGAGUCCUAAACAGGACGAAACAGCUGUCCAGUGC
Molecule: non-coding RNA, 45 nt
Filed under: Echinostoma caproni
Lineage: Eukaryota; Metazoa; Platyhelminthes; Trematoda; Plagiorchiida; Echinostomatidae
Source: RNAcentral